Molecule: ribosomal RNA, 489 nt
Filed under: uncultured bacterium
Lineage: Bacteria
Description: bacterial SSU rRNA
Rfam family: Bacterial small subunit ribosomal RNA
Source: RNAcentral
CGCUGGCGGCGUGCCUAAUACAUGCAAGUAGAACGCUGAAGGAGGAGCUUGCUUCUCUGGAUGAGUUGCGAACGGGUGAGUAACGCGUAGGUAACCUGCCUGGUAGCGGGGGACAACUAUUGGAAACGAUAGCUAAUACCGCAUAAUAGUAGUUGUUGCAUGACAACUGUUUGAAAGGUGCAAUUGCAUCACUACCAGAUGGACCUGCGUUGUAUUAGCUAGUUGGUGGGGUAACGGCUCACCAAGGCGACGAUACAUAGCCGACCUGAGAGGGUGAUCGGCCACACUGGGACUGAGACACGGCCCAGACUCCUACGGGAGGCAGCAGUAGGGAAUCUUCGGCAAUGGACGGAAGUCUGACCGAGCAACGCCGCGUGAGUGAAGAAGGUUUUCGGAUCGUAAAGCUCUGUUGUAAGAGAAGAACGAGUGUAAGAGUGGAAAGUUCACACUGUGACGGUAUCUUACCAGAAAGGGACGGCUAACUACGUG